This 997-nucleotide long non-coding RNA is filed under the name Rosa chinensis. RNAcentral's name for it is "sRNA RchiOBHm_Chr7g0239111". Lineage: Eukaryota; Viridiplantae; Streptophyta; Magnoliopsida; Rosales; Rosaceae. The record is from RNAcentral.
UGAUGGACAAAAAGUUGAAUUAUGUCCUGACUCUCCACACCGAAGACACUUCUUUCCCCUGUUUACACUGUAUGGGUUGUCUUGUUUUUGUUGACUAACCUCCUUCCCUUGCAUUCAACCUUACUAAGAAAAUAGUAAUCUUGGGUCCCACUGGGCGUGCCAAAAGAUGUUGCCUCUGAAAAUCACCUCGGCCUAUACAGCCGAGGGAUCAAGGAACAAAUGUCCUUCUUGAUGAAUAGAUGCGGAGCGUGCCAGCACACGGCCAGAAGGCCAAGUGUGCAACUGUAGGAAGGAACUUAUUCUCGGCUGCGGUUCGAUGCCUCUAGAUUAAGGACUUGAUGGCUGAAGGUUGGGUGAGUUAGGUGUGGUUGUGAGAGUAUGAGUAAAUAUAAGAUUAAUAGCUACUAUGAAUAACAAGAUUAAACAAGUAAAGCAUAAAGACAAUAAGGAGCAAAUAAAAGAUAAUAGCAACGAAACUGAAAACUAGAAUGGCUGCAAAUUAUUAACUGUUGUUUGAAAGAAAACAAAGAGAACAAUUCAAAAUCGAUACUAGGCUACAAGAAAGAUAAAGUAACUGAGAUUGUAACUAGCAGAGCAAAUAAACUAAAGUAACAGACGGAAAUUCUACCUAAGCAAAAGGUAAAACGAAAUAAGAAAAGCUUGAUGGCUUGAGUUUCUGGAGUUGUGUGUGUGUUGUCUUCUGUCGAUGCUUCUAUUUAUAUCGGCUGCUUUGUGACUCGAACUGAUCUCUUGACUCUUUGAAGUUGAGUGAAAUUCGGCCUCCUCUUGGCUCAGUGACUCUAUCUUGAUUUGGCUUCAAUACUUAUCGUCGGCUGACUUGACGCUGGACUCUAUCCGGAUUGGCUUUGAUGGACGUCAUCAACGGCUGCAAUUAAUCUUGAAGUCGGCUAUCUUGGAUUGAACUCUCCUCAUCGGCUGACAUCAACUUCAAGUCGAUUGAAAUACUACUUGAUUGAAUUUCGUCUUUAUCGCUUAU